AGCCAGCUCUAAUUCAUCAUUGCGUGGAAAAUCCUCCUCUCUCAACCAAAGUGUACCGAUGAACUCAUCUCUGAGACUGUCUCAAUGAUGUGCCACAAAGUAUCCAACGCAUCUAGAUAUACGCCCAUACACCUGUUCCACGUGGCAGAGCAAAGAUCCCCAGAGCGUGCCGUACAUGCUGUGAGAGGCGUUUGUACCGCUCAAUGACACCUGCUUUUCUUUUUCUUCUCUGCUUUGCUUCUAAAGUGUCGUACGGAAUUGUUUAUCCGGACGCACAAAUGCUGGAAAACAAUAACAAGGUUGCCUGAUAGAGCCCAAUCUAUAAAUAUUUUGGUAGUU
RNAcentral lists this small RNA (339 nucleotides) under Histoplasma ohiense. Its description in RNAcentral is "hypothetical lncRNA". Lineage: Eukaryota; Fungi; Ascomycota; Eurotiomycetes; Onygenales; Ajellomycetaceae. The record is from RNAcentral.